Long non-coding RNA from Myotis daubentonii (Daubenton's bat), 2174 nucleotides. RefSeq lists it as uncharacterized. The record is from RefSeq and is a predicted model, not a curated record. NCBI's taxonomy places the organism in Eukaryota, Metazoa, Chordata, Mammalia, Chiroptera, Vespertilionidae.
ACGGACGUCGUUUGUUGGCUGCUUCUGCCGGAAAAAGCCGAUAGAUCUAAGGAGCCAAUUAGAAUCUGUCGCUGGAAAUCCACGCCCAACGGGCGAAAAAUACCGAAGAUACCCGAACCAGAAGAAGGUGGGUUCGCCUUGUUCGGAGGAGAAAUUCGAUAAAGGCCACAGUGGCCAAUCAGAGUCCGCCGGCCCCCCAGAAAAAAACGCUUGAAGAGUUAAGAACGGUGAAACCCGGGGUUCUGGGUGAAACAGCACGGCUGGGCCCGUGGCCGCCUUGUAAUUGGCCAAAAAACUCCUCGGGGAGUGUGCCUCCCUCGCUGAAUCGUGAACGGAAGGGGGCUUCCGAGGACAGUCUGGCCAGUCAGAACGCCUCCUCCCUCGCCAAGGUGGGGCAAAGAAGAAAGCAAUGGGAGGGCGUCUAUAAAGUGCCUUCUCAUUGGCUGGAAGCUUUGGAGCUGGAGUUGGGGCUAAAGGGAAAGGGAGGGAGGCCGCACCGCUAGCGGUAGCCAAUCGGCACUCACUGCCGUCCAAUCGCAAGACCUAGCUGCAGUGUGAUUGGCCCUCAGCCUCCGGCGGCGGUCCCCGGAGUCCGGAGCAGCUCGGCUGGGGCCGCGGCGGACGGUGUGACGGGCUCGCCGGCGGCUGCUCCCACACCAUAUGGGAACCGCAAAUAGGGAGCGCGGGCUCUCCGCACUGCCGGUCCGGAACUGCUGCGGUCGGCGGGGCUGGGCUCGGAGCGCUCAGGCGAGCAGAGGGUUUAGGGCCUCUCUCCACUCACUGAGGCUGCCGGCGGGGCGCGGCGAAUUCUGCGCGCCCAAGACUUCCCUCCGCCCGGGAUAGUGCGUCCCGAGUGCCAGUGUCUUCCCCGAAAAGUCCAGAUCGAUGCUAGAUGCCUCACCGGCCGAGAGCGAGUUCUCGGACGCUAAACAAAGCUUUCAGAAAGGCAGCAGCGCCCCUGGGCGGCCGCGCCCCACCCCGCCCCGCCGCGGGGCCAUUGAUUAAACCCCGGCCGGGCUGGCCUGCUGGGAACGCCCCUGAGAAAUGAGCUCAUGCUGCAUGCGCGCGCUCCUAGGGCCCUGCCGCCCGGCGCUCUCUGAACCGGCCCCGAAAUCAGGAAAUACAACAUAAUUUUGCAAUAAUUGAGACUCCAGAAAACACAGAAGCAUUUUGAUUCCUUGAGGGCCAUGAUGGAGAUCAUGAAAACUUCCAGUAGAAGGUGGAGGUGACCUGGCUUACUGGGGCUGGAUCAACAAUGAGUACCAGAAGUGUUCAAAGACAAGACACCUCAACAGCUGACAUCCGUGUGGCUGCACAUAAGACUUGGUUUUGAGCCCAUGUAAAACCCUGUCUAAAGAAUCUUAGAAAUUAUGGAACCCUGCAAGGAGCUGGAGGUCCUGCAUCAGUAGGCAAAGGCAGGAGGCAUUGAAAUGUGGGUUAUAAAGCCAUUUUUAAUAAAUUGAUAAUUGUGGCUUUUAGUUCAUAAAGGAUAAGAUGUAAGAAUUGAAUCUGCUGUUCCCUUACUUCAGUGGUUCCCAUUUCCACACUCUUAUUUGUGCGAGCAUUUCACAAAACUGAGGGUACUCUGAUGGUUGUUUUGAAAUACAGGGCAUGUUUGUUUGUUUUUUAUAACAUGACCCAUUAAUGCAGGUUAAAUACAAUUCUUCAUCUGGUGUUCAACCAAAGAAACAGUGGUAUGCUCCAAUACUGGGAGAAAAACUAGCUGAACUGAAUUUAUUGAUAUUUUAGGUCCUUUAUAGGGUAAUUUUGAAUGUGUGUGAUUGGCACCUAAAAUGCUGUUUUUAGAACCUAAACCAAAGAGGAAACUCCAGGGUUUUACUUUUCCUAUAAUGCUUAAUACUUUAUAAUGAACAUUAUAGUAUUGAACACAUACUGAAACCUGUAAGGUAGACUAGACAGGUAAUAUUACUUCAUUUUAUAGAUUUUUAAUUGGAGGCAAAAAGAACUAUAAUUAGCUUUCCUGGCUCAAUUUUACCACACUGAUCAAAUAUAUUCAUUGAGCAGCCACAGGUAUAUGGCAUUUCAUUAUGCUCUUGGAAUAAUAUUUUUUAAAAUGCAUGAAAGUAUGCUCUGAGCAGGUAAGAGAAGUCUCAUAAAAUAAGAAUAGUUUAUAACCUGACAUCCUUUUUCAAAUAAAAUUUUCAUGGACCUUC